Molecule: ribosomal RNA, 256 nt
Filed under: uncultured bacterium
Lineage: Bacteria
Description: partial 16S ribosomal RNA
Rfam family: Bacterial small subunit ribosomal RNA
Source: RNAcentral
CCUACGGGAGGCAGCAGUAGGGAAUCUUCCACAAUGGACGAAAGUCUGAUGGAGCAACGCCGCGUGAGUGAAGAAGGGUUUCGGCUCGUAAAGCUCUGUUGGGAGUGAAGAAAGAUAGAGGUAGGAACUGGCCUUUAUUUGACGGUAAUUACUUAGAAAGUCACGGCUAACUACGUGCCAGCAGCCGCGGUAAUACGUAGGUGGCAAGCGUUGUCAGGAUUUAUUGGGCGUAAAGCGAGUGCAGGCGGUUUAAGAA